This 250-nucleotide small RNA is filed under the name Nannospalax galili (Upper Galilee mountains blind mole rat). RNAcentral describes it as "7SK RNA (ENSNGAG00000003220.1)". It matches the Rfam family "7SK RNA", at positions 1 to 247 of the family's 331-position model. From Rfam's summary of the family: 7SK was discovered as an abundant small nuclear RNA in the mid-70s but a possible function has only recently been suggested. Two independent studies have found that 7SK RNA binds the CDK9/cyclin T complex (known as elongation factor P-TEFb). The record is from RNAcentral. Lineage: Eukaryota; Metazoa; Chordata; Mammalia; Rodentia; Spalacidae.
GAAUGUGAGGGCAAUCUGCCUGCAACGUCUGUCACCCCAUUGAUCUUCAAGGUUGAUUCUGCUGAUCCGACUGGCUAGGUAGUUGCCCCUUUCCUCCCUCAAUGCUCCACGUGUCCCUCCUGAAGCUGCAUGCUCUACCAAAGAGGGUGACUUUCCCUGAUAGAUGAGGACCCGUCUUCAGUCAAGGUUAUAGGAGUAGCUCUGCUUCGCUUCCCUGCUACAAUCUCCAAACAAGCUCUCCAAAGGCUUU